GAGGCUAUAGCUCAAGUGGUAGAGCACAUGCUUAAUUAGCAAGCAUGAGGUCCUGGGUUCAAUCCCCAGUACCUCCA
Molecule: transfer RNA, 77 nt
Organism: Camelus ferus (Wild Bactrian camel)
Lineage: Eukaryota; Metazoa; Chordata; Mammalia; Artiodactyla; Camelidae
Rfam family: tRNA
About the family: Transfer RNA (tRNA) molecules are approximately 80 nucleotides in length. Their secondary structure includes four short double-helical elements and three loops (D, anti-codon, and T loops).
Source: Rfam